UACGUAGGGGGCAAGCGUUGUCCGGAAUCAUUGGGCGUAAAGCGCGUGUAGGCGGCUCAGUAAGUCCGCUCUGAAAGCCCGGGGCUUAACCCCGGGAGGCGGGUGGAUACUGCUGAGCUUGAGUCCGGAAGAGGCGAGUGGAAUUCCCGGUGUAGCGGUGAAAUGCGCAGAUAUCGGGAGGAACCCCAGAGGCGAAGGCGGCGCCCUGGCUCGCACCUGACGCUCAGACACGACAGCAUGGGGAGCGAACGGG
RNAcentral lists this ribosomal RNA (253 nucleotides) under uncultured bacterium. RNAcentral's name for it is "partial 16S ribosomal RNA". It matches the Rfam family "Bacterial small subunit ribosomal RNA", at positions 524 to 776 of the family's 1533-position model. The record is from RNAcentral.